CCUACGGGAGGCAGCAGUGAGGAAUAUUGGUCAAUGGGCGCGAGCCUGAACCAGCCAAGUAGCGUGAAGGAUGACUGCCCUACGGGUUGUAAACUUCUUUUAUAAAGGAAUAAAGUGCGGCACGUGUGCCUUUUUGCAUGUACUUUAUGAAUAAGGAUCGGCUAACUCCGUGCCAGCAGCCGCGGUAAUACGGAGGAUCCGAGCGUUAUCCGGAUUUAUUGGGUUUAAAGGGAGCGUAGAUGGGGUGUUAAGUCAGGUGUGAAAGUUUGCGGCUCAACCGUAAAAUUGCAGUUGAUACUGGCAGUCUUGAGUACAGUUGAGGUAGGCGGAAUUCGUGGUGUAGCGGUGAAAUGCUUAGAUAUCACGAAGAACUCCGAUUGCGAAGGCAGCUUACUAAGCUGCGACUGACAUUGAUGCUCGAAGGUGUGGGUAUCAAACAGGAUUAGAUACCCCUGUAGUC
Molecule: ribosomal RNA, 460 nt
Filed under: uncultured bacterium
Lineage: Bacteria
Description: partial 16S ribosomal RNA
Rfam family: Bacterial small subunit ribosomal RNA
Source: RNAcentral